This is a non-coding RNA of Chlorocebus sabaeus (green monkey), 2387 nucleotides long. The record is from RefSeq and is a predicted model, not a curated record. Lineage: Eukaryota; Metazoa; Chordata; Mammalia; Primates; Cercopithecidae.
CCUCAAGUAAUCCUCCUGCCUUGGCCUCCCAAAGUGCUGGUAUUAAAGGCAUGAGCCACCAUGCCCAGCUAGUUUUAAGAACAAUUAUUUAAUAUUGUGUUCCUUUUCUUAUUGAUUCCAUCCUGUUCUUUCAUGAUUUAUUGAGUCUUUCCUGUAGGCAGGGCACCCAAAGUUCACCCAGGGUACUAGGAACUUUGAAAACUUAAAACACUCUCACAUGUUCUGAAACACCCACAGCGACAAAGAGGAAAAGAACGUCCAGCAGGUGUAUUCCGUCUUCUGAAACACCCACAGCGACAGAGAGGAAAAGAAUGUCCAGCAGGUGUAUUCCAUCUCCAGCAGCGAGUGGAUACCAAGGCUGCUGCUGCUCCUACCCCUGACUUACGCCCCAGUCAGGAAGCCAGGAAAGUGCCCACUAAGUUCUAGAUUAAAUCAGAAGGGGAAAUCUCCAAGCCAAGAAGACAGUGAAACUGUCUUUUCCUUGUUCCAAAAAUGGCAGGGCCCUCUCUGUGCUGGAAGAAAUGCACCUGGCACUGGCGAGUCGUGUGAUGUCUGCUCUACACGUGGUAUCUUCCUCUGCACCCAUGCUGUGCACAGUUUACAUAGACACCUUCCCGUUACCUAUAGCAGGUCUCUGUCUGGAUCCAUCUCUUGUCGAGCUCGAACUCGAGCAGCAGGUGGAAAACCAUACUCCAGUGUAUUGUGUUUGUAAUUUGAAAAAAGUUCUCAAUAAAUUUUUGCAAAAACAGGAAAAAUCUUUUACACAUUAACUUUUUCUCUCUCUUAUUUUACCCCUUUGAGUCUUCCCAUUUCUACAUUUUCUUUAUUUUUAAAAAAUCACCUUUUCAAAAUAUUGUCUGGAUGUAGCUAAGGGUGUUGGGUAGCCAACACAGGCUACCAAUGGAGAAAAUCUCCUGUCCACGUUGGGGGUGCCGUGCUCUCAGAGGAAGCUGAUAGCAAAUUCAUGCACAAUUAAACUCAGAAGGAGAGGCACAGGCCUCAGAACACGCGUGCCAAAGAACCCGCAUUUGGCUUGAGCGGGGCUGGGCACGGUGGUGGCUCCACGCUGUGUCAGUCUGCCUCCAUCCAUGACUCCUUCUGGAGAAAGAUGAAAACGGCUUAUUCGGGGACUGCUGGGAGACCAGAGGUAUUCAUCACACAGGAAGAGGGUGUGCACUCUCUUUUCUUUGUCAAAAAUUGUAUCUAGAUUGAAAAACCUGGUAGGAACAAAAUGGUACUUUGUGGAGAGAAUCAGUGGUGACUAAUUUGAUUUGGGAAAGUAGAAUUCAAGAUAGGCUAUUUCUGAAACCACUUAAAAUGAGGACAGGGGAAAAUGAAGGUAUUAUUUCCUAGUUUUAUUCACCUUUUGGGGGAAUAUUUUACAAAACUUCUUUUUAGAAGGGGUCUGUCAUGGAGUUAUAUUAUGUUGAAAUGUUAAAAUCCAUGUCAAACCUUAUUAAAAAUGAAGAAGAUAUGUAUUGACCACAAUUAAUUACUUAGUUAUAAGAGUCCAUGCUGAAUUUACUGUCAGUCAAGUCAACAAGAGACGUGGUCAGUUACACAGUUAUCUCUGUGUGAAAGAGAAGUAUUUUUUCUUCAAAAGAGGCCAGUUUGGGAGUGGAAUAUCCUAAAUUUUGAAAGGAAUUUUUCACAUAGGAUCCUCUACAGGGGCAUCGCGUAACACAAAUGUCAGCUUUCCAGCAAGGGCAGGACAUCGUCUCAUGGCCCCUGUUCCUACUGACCAAGGCCAAGCGUGGGGCCUGAGCUUUGCUUUUUAAUUCUUCACAGGCUGCAGAGCCUAGCCUUUUGUAGAGGCGGGGGGAAGAGUAGCCAUUCUCUAUUUAUAAAUCUUCCUUUCUUGAUUUUAGGAAGUAACCAGAUAUUAUGGGGAGUUUGAAGUCAUUUUAACUUUUAUGACAUUCAAGUUUGUAUGGACUUUUUAGUGUCCAAAUUUAUGCUCUGAGUAUUUUGAGCUGAGCUUAUUCAUUCCACAAAGUAUACGUUUAUAAAUAUUUUAAGUAUGAAUUUAGUAACAACCUUUUCCCUCAUAAUUAUGCUAACUGACGUAGUGAAAUGUUGAGAGAAUCAGAUGUUAAUGGUUGGCUGAGCUGGGGCAAUUACGUGGCAUUUAUUAGUCUUUUGUUAUGGCACACAGUUCUAAAGUAGAUCAUUUAAAAAGCAUUAAUUUCAUCUGCAAGCACCAGUACACGAUUCAGCAAUUACAUUGAGUUAUAAAAGUUAGAUCUCAAAACUAUGAAUGUACCUUAAUGAAAAAAGAAAGUCUUAUUUUGCACCACAAUGAAUUUUUUCUUAAUAUAGAAAGUGACUCAUGUGUCUCAGUGGCUAAGAAAGAACUGUGUUCGUGUUCCUGGCAAAAUGCAAAAUCA